UAUUGCCGCGAUCUCAUGCGAGUGACAGGUUGCCCUGCCCUCGCGCCGGUAAACACAUCAUCAGAGAAUAGAAGAGAUGUGGCUGCAGGAGGGAGGGGAAGUUAUUUUGAUUAAACAACUAAUGAUGUGCACGGAUAAAUCAUUUAUAAUAACAUUGCAAUAUUCAAUGAAUAAAAUAAGAACUGUCCAUUUUGAUUUCAUGGUGACUUCAAGUAAAACAAAGACAUAAUCCAAAUUGAAACUGAAGAAUUCGUAUCUUUUCUUUAUUUCAGGGCACUGAAGCCUUUGUUCUGAGCAGCAAAGUGUCCGACUUAUGGGAUGGAACUGCUAUCAGAUAAGGGCUGCUGCUGCUGCCGUCUCCUCCGUCACUCAGGGCUUUGAUCUGAACGAGCAGGUCCUCUUCUGACGGCAACUGAAGCUCCACGGACGUCCUGUUGGUCUCCACUACACCGCUUCCUCUGUGCCAGUUUUGAUGAUACACAACCUGCGCAGGAGAAAGUGGGUGCCUCACAGCGGACGGUUAGGAUUGCAAAUGAAUAGAGUUUCUCCCUUAUGAAAGUGUCUUUGGUGAGAAGUCGCUAAGCUCGUAGCUCCAGAUGGAGGAUAGCAUCAGAGCCAUCCAGCUGUUCGCCGACCCGACAAACCUCUACAUUUCAGAGAGGCCUUCGUCAAUUAGCUGGCAGCACGCUGCAGCAAAUUAAUUUGCUCAAAAGAAAUGAAUCACAUUGGACAAUUUUUAAUCCUCUUUCUGAACAUUUUGUGUGAACUCUUGCUACAGAUGACUUGGGUUUUGAGCGCAGCAGGAGAUCGGAGCAGCUUGUUCUGAAAUGUAAAAAAGCCUCAGAUGUUUCUGAACUGUAUCUAUGACCUUGAGUGUGGAAGUGCUUUAUUGAGCCUUGCAAAAGGAAAUUAGAAAAAAUGAAAGAUUAUACUAAAGUGCAAAUCAAAUCUAGACCUAAAAAAUAUCUUUACAUUUAAUGUCUAGCCAGAUAUCUGCUUUAAUUCAUUCACUUUUAUCAUUUAUCAUUUAUAUUAUUUGCUAAAGGGUCUUGCGAAAAGCAUGUAUCUAUUCCUUGAGUUUUUCAUAAUUAAUUUUAAUAAAAGUUUUGCUAGCAAAAAGGAAAGAGAACGGCUUCUGCUGGCUCUUACUAUAGGCUUCUGCUUAUGCAAAUUUGAUCUGAUUUGAUCAAUCCCACCCAAGAUGACAU
Megalobrama amblycephala (Wuchang bream) is the source of this 1208-nucleotide long non-coding RNA. RefSeq lists it as uncharacterized. The record is from RefSeq and is a predicted model, not a curated record. Lineage: Eukaryota; Metazoa; Chordata; Actinopteri; Cypriniformes; Xenocyprididae. The transcript is spliced from 3 exons.